Molecule: ribosomal RNA, 680 nt
Filed under: uncultured fungus
Lineage: Eukaryota; Fungi
Description: eukaryotic LSU rRNA
Rfam family: 5.8S ribosomal RNA (bases 255-409)
Source: RNAcentral
GAGGAAGUAAAAGUCGUAACAAGGUUUCCGUAGGUGAACCUGCGGAAGGAUCAUUACCGAAUCGUCAACACGAGUUGUUGCUGGCCCUCAAACGGGGGCAUGUGCACGCUCUGUUUGCAUCCACUCACACCUGUGCACCCUCUGUAGUUCUGCUGUCUGGAGGACCCCGUCUUCCACCUGUGGUUCUAUGUCUUUACACACACACUGUAACAUGGUUUUAUGGAAUGUACGCAGCGUUUAACGCAAUACAAUACAACUUUCAGCAACGGAUCUCUUGGCUCUCGCAUCGAUGAAGAACGCAGCGAAAUGCGAUAAGUAAUGUGAAUUGCAGAAUUCAGUGAAUCAUCGAAUCUUUGAACGCACCUUGCGCCUUUUGGCUAUUCCAAAGGGCAUGCCUGUUUGAGUAUCAUGAACACCUCAACUCUCAUGGUUUGCCAUGACGAGCUUGGACUUUGGAGGCUUUGCCGGCCUGCGGUUGGCUCCUCCCAAACGAAUUAGCUUUCCAGUUCAUGGCGGCGUCACAGGUGUGAUAAAUAUCUACGCUUGUGGUCGUCUGCCAGACAACCUCUGAUGCCAGAGGUUUGCUGGAGCUCAUAAACGUCUCUCCUAAGCGAAGACAGCCUUCCGAACGUUUGAUCUCAAAUCAGGUAGGAUUACCCGCUGAACUUAAGCAUAUCAUA